UUCUGUCCCGUCUCCUCCCGCCCAGAAACGAGGAACCCGUCGCCCCUCGCCCGGCACCGAUCGCUCCUCGCCCCUCGCUCGGCACCGAUCGCUCCUCGCCCCUCGCCCGGCACCGAUCGCUGUCAGCCUGGUCGCCCACUCAUCCAGCUGCUUGAAGCCAUGGCCUUUAACUACUAUCAACGCACAUGGUGUGGAUCUGCUGCCGCUACUACUAAUUAUGAUGAAAUCGAAGCAUGUGCUGUUGUCGUUUCAACAUUAAGGAAGAAACGGCGCUGGGGAGGCUCUGUUGUUGGCCACAAGACAAAAAAUCGUGACCGUAUUGGUGGUAACAUUCAAUUGAACAAUGAUUAUUUUAUUGAGAGGCCAUUAUUCAAUGCCGAGGAAUUCCGCAGAAGGUUCCGUAUGCGGCAAUCCCUUUUCUUGGAGAUUGAAGACAAAUUGGCAGCUGCAAGUAAGUUCUUCAGACAAGAAAGAAAUGCAGCUGGUGUGUUGGGAUUCUCCACUAGACAAAAGUGCACUGUGGGUUUACGGAUGUUGGCUUAUGGAGGGCCAGCAGAUGCACUAGA
Molecule: long non-coding RNA, 566 nt
Organism: Panicum hallii
Lineage: Eukaryota; Viridiplantae; Streptophyta; Magnoliopsida; Poales; Poaceae
Exons: 3
Source: RefSeq, a predicted model, not a curated record